AGUGAACGCUGGCGGUAGGCCUAACACAUGCAAGUCGAACGGCAGCACAGUAAGAGCUUGCUCUUACGGGUGGCGAGUGGCGGACGGGUGAGGAAUACAUCGGAAUCUACUUUUUCGUGGGGGAUAACGUAGGGAAACUUACGCUAAUACCGCAUACGACCUACGGGUGAAAGCAGGGGAUCUUCGGACCUUGCGCGAUUGAAUGAGCCGAUGUCGGAUUAGCUAGUUGGCGGGGUAAAGGCCCACCAAGGCGACGAUUCGUAGCUGGUCUGAGAGGAUGAUCAGCCACACUGGAACUGAGACACGGUCCAGACUCCUACGGGAGGCAGCAGUGGGGAAUAUUGGACAAAGGGCGCAAGCCUGAUCCAGCCAUACCGCGUGGGUGAAGAAGGCCUUCGGGUUGUAAAGCCCUUUUGUUGGGAAAGAAAAGCAGCAGGUUAAUACCCCGCUGUUCUGACGGUACCCAAAGAAUAAGCACCGGCUAACUUCGUG
This 492-nucleotide ribosomal RNA is filed under the name uncultured bacterium. RNAcentral describes it as "partial 16S ribosomal RNA". It matches the Rfam family "Bacterial small subunit ribosomal RNA", at positions 29 to 507 of the family's 1533-position model. The record is from RNAcentral.